Molecule: transfer RNA, 67 nt
Filed under: Dicyrtomina saundersi
Lineage: Eukaryota; Metazoa; Arthropoda; Collembola; Symphypleona; Dicyrtomidae
Description: tRNA-Asn
Source: RNAcentral
UUUUGGGAAACUAAUUAAUAGUUAGUCACUGUUAAUGGCCAUAAGAAUAAGUUUUAUUCCUUAAAAU